This 253-nucleotide ribosomal RNA is filed under the name uncultured bacterium. RNAcentral's name for it is "partial 16S ribosomal RNA". It matches the Rfam family "Bacterial small subunit ribosomal RNA", at positions 524 to 776 of the family's 1533-position model. The record is from RNAcentral.
UACGUAGGGUGCGAGCGUUAAUCGGAAUUACUGGGCGUAAAGCGUGCGCAGGCGGUUUGUUAAGACAGAUGUGAAAUCCCCGGGCCUAACCUGGGAACUGCAUUUGUGACUGGCAAGCUAGAGUAUGGCAGAGGGGGGUAGAAUUCCACGUGUAGCAGUGAAAUGCGUAGAGAUGUGGAGGAAUACCGAUGGCGAAGGCAGCCCCCUGGGCCAAUACUGACGCUCAUGCACGAAAGCGUGGGGAGCAAACAGG